AGCUCAAAAGUUGCGCCAAGUAAUUGCGCAGAGAGUGAUACAACUGUUCCAGAUUCUCCUGCUCGAGCUGAAAAGUUUGCUGAAAGUUGGAACCUCUUAAGAUAUGGGGAGAUUCUUGAGGACUUGAAGAAUGAUUCGAAGAGCCAUGGGGAGAUUCU
Brassica oleracea var. oleracea is the source of this 158-nucleotide long non-coding RNA. RefSeq lists it as uncharacterized. The transcript has 3 exons. NCBI's taxonomy places the organism in Eukaryota, Viridiplantae, Streptophyta, Magnoliopsida, Brassicales, Brassicaceae. The record is from RefSeq and is a predicted model, not a curated record.